This 474-nucleotide ribosomal RNA is filed under the name uncultured Paraglomus. RNAcentral's name for it is "SSU rRNA". It matches the Rfam family "Eukaryotic small subunit ribosomal RNA", at positions 569 to 1046 of the family's 1831-position model. Lineage: Eukaryota; Fungi; Glomeromycota; Glomeromycetes; Paraglomerales; Paraglomeraceae. The record is from RNAcentral.
AGCAGCCGCGGUAAUUCCAGCUCCAAUAGCGUAUAUUAAAGUUGUUGUGGUUAAAAAGCUCGUAGUUGAACCUUGGGCCUGGCUGGCCGGUCCGCCUCACCGCGUGUACUGGUCCGGCCGGGCCUUUCCCUCUGUGGAACCCCCAUGCCCUUCACUGGGUGUGGUGGGGAAACAGGACUUUUACUGUGAAAAAAUUAGAGUGCUCCAGGCAGGCCUAUGCUCGAAUACAUUAGCAUGGAAUAAUAGAAUAGGACGUGUGGUUCUAUUUUGUUGGUUUCUAGGACCGCCGUAAUGAUUAAUAGGGACAGUCGGGGGCAUCAGUAUUCAAUUGUCAGAGGUGAAAUUCUUGGAUUUAUUGAAGACUAACUACUGCGAAAGCAUUUGCCAAGGAUGUUUUCAUUAAUCAGUGAACGAAAGUUAGGGGAUCGAAGACGAUCAGAUACCGUCGUAGUCUUAACCAUAAACUAUGCCGAC